This 511-nucleotide long non-coding RNA is filed under the name Lynx pardinus (Iberian lynx). The record is from RNAcentral. Lineage: Eukaryota; Metazoa; Chordata; Mammalia; Carnivora; Felidae.
AGCCGCAAGGAUACCCGGGAGGUGAGAAAUGGGGAGGUUCAGGCGGAAAACAGCGGCUGUAGGACCGAGGGAUGGGAGCACUCAGGAAAUGGACCAAGGGGUUUGCAGAAGACCUCGACUGAGACUCUCUCUCUCUUCCCAUUAGGCGCUUCGAAGCUCUCUAUCCAGGGUCCCGAUGCCGGCCACGCCCAGGAGCCAGACAGAACUAACCUUGACCCAGAAAGCAGAGGCCUGAGUAGAACUGGGAGGAAGUGUGGGCCUGUGGAGCUCUAGAUUAUACAUGGGAAUUUUACCUUAAUAUAAUUGCAAGCCAACGUGUGUUACACUGCAGAUAGUUAUGGCCCACUGAACAGUCACAUUUAUCUUGUAUAUAAUUUUGUGAGAGUUCUAGAAGCCAGGAUGUUUAUGAACCUCUUUGAAUUCAUAUUCAAAGAUUGGAUAACUCAAUCUUCAAGGGCUUCAGUUUCUACUUUGGUGAAAGGAGAGGGUCAGAAUAAAUGAUCUUCCAGCA